RNAcentral lists this long non-coding RNA (723 nucleotides) under Lathyrus oleraceus (garden pea). Its description in RNAcentral is "Pisum sativum (pea) long non-coding RNA (PSAT_LNC023173)". Lineage: Eukaryota; Viridiplantae; Streptophyta; Magnoliopsida; Fabales; Fabaceae. The record is from RNAcentral.
UGAGCUCUAGUGAGGGAAGGUUGGAGAAUGGAGAAUGGAGAGUGAAAAUUUGAGAGAAAAUGAAGAAUGGGUGGAAUCAAAAAGUGAAGAAGAAAUCCUCUCAUGGGUGAAUGAUGAAUGAUUAUAUAGAACUAGGUGAGGGAUAAUUAGAGGUUGAGAAUUGGUUAGAAGUUAUUUUGGACUGUUUUGGGUACUUUGGACAAUUGCCUAAAGUAGUUAGAAGUUAGUUUGUUAAAGUUUAAGGUAGUUAGAGUGGUUAAAGCAUGAAUAUAUGUGACUUUACAUGUAUGUCCAUAUGCUGAAUUUUUAAUGAAUGUUGAGUGAAAUUGAAUGAAUUUACAUGACAUCACUUGAGUACAUGUUUGAGUACUUACAUGGUAUGAAUGAAUAACUUAUGGAUGCAUUUAAAUUGGUUCUCAUGUAUGAAAUUAUGUAUUACAUGAAUGCUGAAUUUUUUUUAACACACAUGAUUUAUGGGGUUUUACUUGUUGUAUGAAAAUGAAAUGAGAAUGAUGCAUAAUAUGAAAUUUGUAUUUAUGGUAUAUGCAUAGCAUGCUGAAUUUUUAUAACUUAACAUUGAAUUUAACUUGGUUUUGAAUAGUUUUGCAUAUUAUGUGAAUAUGUGUGCAUGUGUUGGAUUUUAGAAAUGAAUGAUAUGAAUUUAAGAUGAUUUUUCCCGUGUAUUUGUAAAUGUUCAUAAAGCUGAAUUUUGUUAUGUAAGUG